RNAcentral lists this ribosomal RNA (254 nucleotides) under uncultured bacterium. Its description in RNAcentral is "partial 16S ribosomal RNA". It matches the Rfam family "Bacterial small subunit ribosomal RNA", at positions 524 to 776 of the family's 1533-position model. The record is from RNAcentral.
UACGGAGGGUGCGAGCGUUGUCCGGAAUCACUGGGCGUAAAGGGCGCGUAGGCGGCGCGGGAAGUCCGUGGUGAAAGCCCGAGGCUCAACUUCGGGUCGGCCAUGGAUACUCCUGGGCUCGAGCACUGUAGAGGCAGGUGGAAUUCCGGGUGUAGCGGUGGAAUGCGUAGAGAUCCGGAAGAACACCGGUGGCGAAGGCGGGUCUCUGGGCCGAUACUGGACGCUGAGGAGCGAAAGCGUGGGGAGCGAACAGG